CCUACGGGAGGCAGCAGUGGGGGAUAUUGCACAAUGGGGGAAACCCUGAUGCAGCGACGCCGCGGGUGGGAAGACGGUCUUCUGGAUUGUAAACCACUGUCCCCAGGGACGAAAAUGACGGUACCUGGGGAGGAAGCUCCGGCUAACUACGUGCCAGCAGCCGCGGUAAUACGUAGGGAGCAAGCGUUGUCCGGAAUUACUGGGUGUAAAGGGAGCGUAGGCGGGGAUGCAAGUUGGGUGUCAAAACUACCGGCUCAACCGAUAGUCGCACUCAAAACUGCAGCUCUUGAGUGAAGUAGAGGCAGGCGGAAUUCCUAGUGUAGCGGUGAAAUGCGUAGAUAUUAGGAGGAACUCCGAUUGCGAAGGCAGCUUACUAAGCCAUAACUGACACUGAAGCACGAAAGCGUGGGGAUCAAACAGGAUUAGAUACCCGUC
RNAcentral lists this ribosomal RNA (435 nucleotides) under uncultured bacterium. RNAcentral describes it as "partial 16S ribosomal RNA". It matches the Rfam family "Bacterial small subunit ribosomal RNA", at positions 338 to 791 of the family's 1533-position model. The record is from RNAcentral.